CCUACGGGUGGCAGCAGUGAGGAAUAUUGGUCAAUGGCCGCAAGGCUGAACCAGCCAAGUCGCGUGAAGGAUGAAGGACCUAUGGUUUGUAAACUUCUUUUAUAGGGGAAUAAAGUUAUCCACGUGUGGCUAUUUGUAUGUACUUUAUGAAUAAGCAUCGGCUAACUCCGUGCCAGCAGCCGCGGUAAUACGGAGGAUGCGAGCGUUAUCCGGAUUUAUUGGGUUUAAAGGGAGCGUAGGUGGGUUUUUAAGUCAGUUGUGAAAGUUUGCGGCUCAACCGUAAAAUUGCCAUUGAUACUGGAAGCCUUGAGUAUAGUUGAGGUAGGCGGAAUUCGUGGUGUAGCGGUGAAAUGCUUAGAUAUCACGCAGAACUCCGAUUGCGAAGGCAGCUUACUAAGC
Molecule: ribosomal RNA, 399 nt
Filed under: uncultured bacterium
Lineage: Bacteria
Description: partial 16S ribosomal RNA
Rfam family: Bacterial small subunit ribosomal RNA
Source: RNAcentral